Molecule: ribosomal RNA, 253 nt
Filed under: uncultured bacterium
Lineage: Bacteria
Description: partial 16S ribosomal RNA
Rfam family: Bacterial small subunit ribosomal RNA
Source: RNAcentral
UACAGAGGGUGCGAGCGUUGUUCGGAAUUAUUGGGCGUAAAGGGCGCGUAGGCGGUGCCACAAGUCACUUGUGAAAUCCCCGGGCUUAACUCGGGGCCUGCAGGCGAAACUGUGGUGCUGGAGUAUGGGAGAGGUGCGUGGAAUUCCCGGUGUAGCGGUGAAAUGCGUAGAUAUCAGGAGGAACACCGGUGGUGUAGACGGCUUUCUGGACCGACACUGACGCUGAGACACGAAAGCGUGGGUAGCAAACAGG